RNAcentral lists this ribosomal RNA (271 nucleotides) under uncultured prokaryote. RNAcentral describes it as "partial 16S ribosomal RNA". It matches the Rfam family "Bacterial small subunit ribosomal RNA", at positions 524 to 794 of the family's 1533-position model. The record is from RNAcentral.
UACGUAGGUGGCGAGCGUUGUCCGGAUUUACUGGGCGUAAAGGGAGCGUAGGCGGACUUUUAAGUGAGAUGUGAAAUACCCGGGCUCAACUUGGGUGCUGCAUUUCAAACUGGAAGUCUAGAGUGCAGGAGAGGAGAAUGGAAUUCCUAGUGUAGCGGUGAAAUGCGUAGAGAUUAGGAAGAACACCAGUGGCGAAGGCGAUUCUCUGGACUGUAACUGACGUUGAGGCUCGAAAGCGUGGGGAGCAAACAGGAUUAGAUACCCGGGUAGU